Solanum verrucosum is the source of this 637-nucleotide long non-coding RNA. RefSeq lists it as uncharacterized. The transcript has 2 exons. The record is from RefSeq and is a predicted model, not a curated record. NCBI's taxonomy places the organism in Eukaryota, Viridiplantae, Streptophyta, Magnoliopsida, Solanales, Solanaceae.
CAUGUGCAGGUCUGGAUAGCCAAAAGAAAAGCUCUUCCCUUACUACAUGUCGGUCUAUAAUUUUGAUUGCAAGUGAUUCAAAAGAAAGCUUAUAUUUGGGAUCUUUGGAAGAUAUAGCUAUAUGGGUGAUAUUACCAACUUGAACCAGUAGUUUACAUAAGUGAGCAUAAUAUACCAGAAAACAGUUGCUUUCUUGCUUCAUAAUAAGCAACACCAAUAAAUGGAUGAGGCAAACAGUACUUGUGGGGAAAUAGAAGAGAUUAUAGACUAUAUUGAGCAGAGGUUUAAGCAGAUCAAGCAGUUUGACAUACUUGACUACUAUCCGUCUGAUCACCACUUCUUCAAAUAUGACAAAAAUUAUAAGAACAUGACAUCGGAAAGUGCCUUUUGCCAAAGGAUUGAAAAAGAGUGUCUUUUGUUGGAGAAGAACCCCUGGCCCUGAUCAAUGGAGUUGCAACUAGAUGAGAAAGGGGUACUUUGUUCUUUAAUUUAAGUGCAGAUUAUAGUUUUGGUUUACCAUUAAUUAAUUGUCUUAAUUGUAUAUUCCAAAGAAAUUAUAUUGUUCCUAAUUUUUCAAAUACUAUAGCCCAUCACUUCUUGUAGUAGACCCUGUUGGAGAGAAGGAAAUGAAUUCUUA